CCUACGGGAGGCAGCAGUAGGGAAUAUUGCUCAAUGGGGGAAACCCUGAAGCAGCAACGCCGCGUGGAGGAUGAAGGUUUUCGGAUUGUAAACUCCUUUUGUUAGAGAAGAUAAUGACGGUAUCUAACGAAUAAGCACCGGCUAACUCCGUGCCAGCAGCCGCGGUAAUACGGAGGGUGCAAGCGUUACUCGGAAUCACUGGGCGUAAAGAGCGCGCAGGCGGAGGUGCAAGUCAGCGGUCAAAUUCCGGGGCUCAACCCCGUACUGCCGUUGAAACUGCAGAACUUGAGUGCGCGAGAAGUAUGCGGAAUGCGGGGUGUAGCGGUGAAAUGCAUAGAUAUCACGCAGAACUCCGACGGCGAAGGCAGCAUACCGGCGCGCAACUGACGCUGAGGCACGAAAGCGUGGGUAGCGAACAGGAUUAGAUACCCCGGUAGUC
RNAcentral lists this ribosomal RNA (439 nucleotides) under uncultured bacterium. Its description in RNAcentral is "partial 16S ribosomal RNA". It matches the Rfam family "Bacterial small subunit ribosomal RNA", at positions 338 to 795 of the family's 1533-position model. The record is from RNAcentral.